AUUGAACGCUGGCGGCAUGCCUUACACAUGCAAGUCGAACGGUAACGGGCCUUCGGGUGCCGACGAGUGGCGAACGGGUGAGUAAUACAUCGGAACGUGCUCGAUCGUGGGGGAUAACGAGGCGAAAGCUUUGCUAAUACCGCAUACGAUCUACGGAUGAAAGCAGGGGACCGCAAGGCCUUGCGCGGACGGAGCGGCCGAUGGCAGAUUAGGUAGUUGGUGGGAUAAAAGCUUACCAAGCCGACGAUCUGUAGCUGGUCUGAGAGGAUGAUCAGCCACACUGGGACUGAGACACGGCCCAGACUCCUACGGGAGGCAGCAGUGGGGAAUUUUGGACAAUGGGCGCAAGCCUGAUCCAGCCAUGCCGCGUGCAGGAUGAAGGCCUUCGGGUUGUAAACUGCUUUUGUACGGAACGAAAAGCCUUCUUUUAAUACAGGGGGGUCAUGACGGUACCGUAAGAAUAAGCACCGGCUAACUACGUG
This 482-nucleotide ribosomal RNA is filed under the name uncultured bacterium. RNAcentral's name for it is "partial 16S ribosomal RNA". It matches the Rfam family "Bacterial small subunit ribosomal RNA", at positions 30 to 507 of the family's 1533-position model. The record is from RNAcentral.